GGCCCCGUAGCUCAACCGGAUAGAGCAGCGGACUUCUAAUCCGCAGGUUGCAAGUUCGAGUCUUGCCGGGGUCGCCA
This 77-nucleotide transfer RNA is filed under the name Alphaproteobacteria bacterium. Its description in RNAcentral is "tRNA-Arg". It matches the Rfam family "tRNA". From Rfam's summary of the family: Transfer RNA (tRNA) molecules are approximately 80 nucleotides in length. Their secondary structure includes four short double-helical elements and three loops (D, anti-codon, and T loops). Lineage: Bacteria; Pseudomonadati; Pseudomonadota; Alphaproteobacteria. The record is from RNAcentral.